UCUGGUUGAUCCUGCCAGUAGUCAUAUGCUUGUCUCAGAGAUUAAGCCAUGCAUGUCUAAGUACAUACCUUUAAACGGUGAAACCGCGAAUGGCUCAUUAAAUCAGCUAUGGUUCCUUGGAUCGUACAUACUACAUGGAUAACUGUAGUAAUUCUAGAGCUAAUACAUGCCACUAUGCCCUGACCCGCGAGGGAACGGGUGGAUUUAUUAGAACAGAACCAACCGGGGGCGGCUUCGGUCGUCCCUGUUGCAUUCUGUGAUGACUCUGGAUAACUUCACUGAUCGCAGUCGGCCUUGUGUCGGCGACGGAUCUUUCAAAUGUCUGCCCUAUCAAUUUUCGAUGGUAGGUGACCUGCCUACCAUGGUGCUAACGGGUAACGGGGAAUCAGGGUUCGAUUCCGGAGAGGGAGCCUGAGAAACGGCUACCACUUCCAAGGAAGGCAGCAGGCACGCAAAUUACCCAAUCCCGGCACGGGGAGGUAGUGACGAAAAAUACGGAUACGGGACUCACUAGAGGCUCCGUAAUUCGAAUGAGUACAAUUUAAAUCCUUUAACGAGGAUCAACUGGAGGGCAAGUCUGGUGCCAGCAGCCGCGGUAACUCCAGCUCCAGAANUGGGAUGGCUGCUCGCUCCUUAGCGGAGGGCUGGUUCUUCGGGGCUGGUCAUUCGUUCUCGAGUGUGGCGUGCCUCUCUUGAGCUGAUUAAUCCGAUUGGCUUGUCCUGUAAGCCGGGCGACCAGGUGCAGGUUGCUUUGGUGGUGCAUGAUCGAUAUUCGCUAGCAGGAAACUGCUGUAUGAAUGGGAAUGUGACGCCCGGGGCAACGUCUCUUCCUGUGAAAACAUGUGGUGGUGCGCAUGUGAAGCUAACGCUCCGUGAAACCGCGACACGGUCCAGCGGCUAGCUCGUUGAUUUUGAUCCUGUGCCCCGACGGCUUCGGCUGAACGGGUUGAAGACUGUGAAUAAUCUGGUUGAUCCUGCCAUUAGUCAUAUGCUUGUCUCAGAGAUUCAGCCAUGCAUAUCUAGGUACAUACCUUUAAACGGUGAAUCCGCGAAUGGCUUACUUAACCCUGUUUCGCACCUGGUAUUUGUAUAUAUCUCAAUUACUUGCGAGCCCUGUGGGAUUGAUGAUAAUUUGCUUGGCUGACUUUCCUUCGGAUUCCACCUUUCACUCACGGAUCUCAAGUCACUAGAUCAACCCUGUACACGUAGGCUCCGCACUCGAGUUUCACUCUUGUUAGGGUGGAUGGCACUGGGGAGGCGCAGCGGAAACAGACGCUUUUCAGGUGAAAAACCUGAGUUCAAACCUUGGGUGCGGAGGUGGAUCAUUAUCAUCAUCGUACUGCGGUAAGCAGCAGGGUGAGCUACACUGACCACUGCCUUUCUCACCAUCUUGCAAGUUGAAUUAGAAAGUAUGAGUAUGAAAGAUGGACGGGGAAUGGACCUACAGGGGUGGAAAAUGGAAAGAAUGCCCUAGUAGCCAACAAACGGAAUACAUCAUCUAACUGUACAAACGCACAUCGAUCACUC
Molecule: ribosomal RNA, 1527 nt
Filed under: Fasciola hepatica (liver fluke)
Lineage: Eukaryota; Metazoa; Platyhelminthes; Trematoda; Plagiorchiida; Fasciolidae
Description: bacterial SSU rRNA
Rfam family: Eukaryotic small subunit ribosomal RNA (bases 2-624)
Source: RNAcentral